RNAcentral lists this ribosomal RNA (502 nucleotides) under uncultured bacterium. RNAcentral's name for it is "bacterial SSU rRNA". It matches the Rfam family "Bacterial small subunit ribosomal RNA", at positions 8 to 507 of the family's 1533-position model. The record is from RNAcentral.
AGAGUUUGAUCAUGGCUCAGAUUGAACGCUGGCGGAAUGCUUUACACAUGCAAGUCGAACGGCAGCACGGGGCAACCUGGUGGCGAGUGGCGAACGGGUGAGUAAUACAUCGGAACGUGCCCAAUCGUGGGGGAUAACGUAGCGAAAGUUACGCUAAUACCGCAUACGAUCUACGGAUGAAAGCGGGGGAUCGCAAGACCUCGCGCGAGUGGAGCGGCCGAUGUCAGAUUAGGUAGUUGGUGGGGUAAAGGCUCACCAAGCCAACGAUCUGUAGCUGGUCUGAGAGGACGACCAGCCACACUGGAACUGAGACACGGUCCAGACUCCUACGGGAGGCAGCAGUGGGGAAUUUUGGACAAUGGGCGCAAGCCUGAUCCAGCCAUUCCGCGUGCAGGAUGAAGGCCUUCGGGUUGUAAACUGCUUUUGUACGGAACGAAACGGCGAGCUCUAAUACAGUUUGCUAAUGACGGUACCGUAAGAAUAAGCACCGGCUAACUACGUG